This 501-nucleotide ribosomal RNA is filed under the name uncultured bacterium. Its description in RNAcentral is "bacterial SSU rRNA". It matches the Rfam family "Bacterial small subunit ribosomal RNA", at positions 15 to 507 of the family's 1533-position model. The record is from RNAcentral.
GAUCAUGGCUCAGGAUGAACGCUAGCUACAGGGCUUAACACAUGCAAGUCGAGGGGCAGCGCAGUUGUAGCAAUACAUGGGCGGCGACCGGCGCACGGGUGCGUAACGCGUAUCCAACCUUCCCGUUACUCAGGGAUAGCCUUCCGAAAGGGAGAUUAAUACCUGAUGGUGUUCAAAUUCCGCAUGUUAUUUGAACUAAAGAUUUAUCGGUAACGGAUGGGGAUGCGUGACAUUAGGUAGAUGGCGGGGUAACGGCCCACCAUGCCUACGAUGUCUAGGGGUUCUGAGAGGAAGGUCCCCCACACUGGAACUGAGACACGGUCCAGACUCCUACGGGAGGCAGCAGUGAGGAAUAUUGGUCAAUGGUCGGAAGACUGAACCAGCCAAGUAGCGUGAAGGAUGAAGGUUCUAUGGAUUGUAAACUUCUUUUAUAUAGGAAUAAAACCUCCCACGUGUGGGAGCUUGUAUGUACUAUAUGAAUAAGCAUCGGCUAACUCCGUG